ACAUGCAGUCGAACGGUAGCACAGAGAGCUUGCUCUUGGGUGACGAGUGGCGGACGGGUCAUUAAUGUCUGGGAAACUGCCCGAUGGAGGGGGAUAACUACUGGAAACGGUAGCUAAUACCGCAUAACGUCGCAAGACCAAAGUGGGGGACCUUCGGGCCUCACACCAUCGGAUGUGCCCAGAUGGGAUUAGCUAGUAGGUGGGGUAACGGCUCACCUAGGCGACGAUCCCUAGCUGGUCUGAGAGGAUGACCAGCCACACUGGAACUGAGACACGGUCCAGACUCCUACGGGAGGCAGCAGUGGGGAAUAUUGCACAAUGGGCGCAAGCCUGAUGCAGCCAUGCCGCGUGUAUGAAGAAGGCCUUCGGGUUGUAAAGUACUUUCAGCGAGGAGGAAGGCAUUAAGGUUAAUAACCUUAGUGAUUGACGUUACUCGCAGAAGAAGCACCGGCUAACUCCGUGCCAGCAGCCGCGGUAAUACGGAGGGUGCAAGCGUUAAUCGGAAUUACUGGGCGUAAAGCGCACGCAGGCGGUUUGUUAAGUCAGAUGUGAAAAUCCCGGGGCUCACCUGGGAACUGCAUUUUGAACUGGCAAGCUUGAGUCUUGUAGAGGGGGGGUAGAUUCCAGGUGUAGCGGUGAAAUGCGUAGAGAUCUGGAAGAAUACCGGUGCCAAAGCGGGCCCCUGGACAAGACUGACGCUCAAGUGCGAAAGCGUGGGGAGCAAACAAGAUUAGAUACCCUGGGUAGUCACGCCGUAAACGAUGUCAACUUGGAGGUUGUUCCCCUGGAGAGUGGCUUUCCGGAGCUAACGCGUUAAAUCGACC
Molecule: ribosomal RNA, 824 nt
Filed under: uncultured bacterium
Lineage: Bacteria
Description: bacterial SSU rRNA
Rfam family: Bacterial small subunit ribosomal RNA
Source: RNAcentral